Molecule: ribosomal RNA, 1419 nt
Filed under: Bacillus sp. (in: firmicutes)
Lineage: Bacteria; Bacillati; Bacillota; Bacilli; Caryophanales; Bacillaceae
Description: bacterial SSU rRNA
Rfam family: Bacterial small subunit ribosomal RNA
Source: RNAcentral
UGCGAGUCGAGCGGAUCGAUGGGAGCUUGCUCCCUGAGAUCAGCGGCGGACGGGUGAGUAACACGUGGGUAACCUGCCUGUAAGACUGGGAUAACUCCGGGAAACCGGGGCUAAUACCGGAUAACACCUACCCCCGCAUGGGGGAAGGUUGAAAGGUGGCUUCGGCUAUCACUUACAGAUGGACCCGCGGCGCAUUAGCUAGUUGGUGAGGUAAUGGCUCACCAAGGCGACGAUGCGUAGCCGACCUGAGAGGGUGAUCGGCCACACUGGGACUGAGACACGGCCCAGACUCCUACGGGAGGCAGCAGUAGGGAAUCUUCCGCAAUGGACGAAAGUCUGACGGAGCAACGCCGCGUGAGUGAAGAAGGUUUUCGGAUCGUAAAACUCUGUUGUUAGGGAAGAACAAGUGCCGUUCGAAUAGGGCGGCGCCUUGACGGUACCUAACCAGAAAAGCCACGGGCUAACUACGUGCCAGCAGCCGCGGUAAUACGUAGGUGGCAAGCGUUGUCCGGGAAUUAUUGGGCGUAAAGCGCGCGCAGGUGGUUUCUUAAGUCUGAUGUGAAAGCCCACGGCUCAACCGUGGAGGGUCAUUGGAAACUGGGGAACUUGAGUGCAGAAGAGGAAAGUGGAAUUCCAAGUGUAGCGGUGAAAUGCGUAGAUAUUUGGAGGAACACCAGUGGCGAAGGCGACUUUCUGGUCUGUAACUGACACUGAGGCGCGAAAGCGUGGGGGAGCAAACAGGAUUAGAUACCCUGGUAGUCCACGCCGUAAACGAUGAGUGCUAAGUGUUAGAGGGUUUCCGCCCUUUAGUGCUGCAGCUAACGCAUUAAGCACUCCGCCUGGGGAGUACGGUCGCAAGACUGAAACUCAAAGGAAUUGACGGGGGCCCGCACAAGCGGUGGAGCAUGUGGUUUAAUUUCGAAGCAACGCGAAAGAACCUUACCAAGGUCUUUGACAUCCUCUGACAACCCUAGAGAUAGGGCUUUUCCCCUUUCGGGGGACAGAGUGACAGGUGGUGCAUGGUUGUCGUCAGCUCGUGUCGUGAGAUGUUGGGUUAAGUCCCGCAACGAGCGCAACCCUUGAUCUUAGUUGCCAGCAUUCAGUUGGGCACUCUAAGAUGACUGCCGGUGACAAACCGGAGGAAGGUGGGGAUGACGUCAAAUCAUCAUGCCCCUUAUGACCUGGGCUACACACGUGCUACAAUGGACGGUACAAAGGGCUGCAAGACCGCGAGGUUUAGCCAAUCCCAUAAAACCGUUCUCAGUUCGGAUUGUAGGCUGCAACUCGCCUACAUGAAGCUGGAAUCGCUAGUAAUCGCGGAUCAGCAUGCCGCGGUGAAUACGUUCCCGGGCCUUGUACACACCGCCCGUCACACCACGAGAGUUUGUAUCUCCCGAAGUCGGUGAGGUAACCUCUCGA